Molecule: long non-coding RNA, 1546 nt
Organism: Fundulus heteroclitus (mummichog)
Lineage: Eukaryota; Metazoa; Chordata; Actinopteri; Cyprinodontiformes; Fundulidae
Exons: 3
Source: RefSeq, a predicted model, not a curated record
UCAUGCUUUCCUAUGUGAUUCCAAAUAAUGUUUUUAAUUAAAACUUAUCACAUUUUCUCUACAUCUGAGAAAUAAUUAAGAUCACUUGGCACAAGCAAAAAUAUGUUCAUUCCCAGACCUCUGUCCCAUGUGACUUAAACAGCAUGACCACUAACUUAAACUGUAUAGUAGCACGGGAAGAUGUGUCUGCUCGGUUACUUGAUAUGUCCUCCAAAGUAAAGGCCAGCAUCUAUUCCGAGAGGUGACCAGAUAAAGACAUCACCUCCUGCGUCACGUGCACAGUGCAAACUGAGACCGCACUUCAUGUGAUGCAACCAGAUACGCUGAAUGGCAUACGUGCAGAAGCUAUGUUUACAGUACUACUAAAUACAAAUCAACAUUUGAACGAUCAUGCUGACAUUUAAAAAAAAAAAAAAAAAAAAAGGUCUGACUGUCAUGCUGCUUUAAAAAAAAAAAUAAAGCGGGUGAAGACUGGAAUGCGUUAGUGAAGAUUUGUUGAUUUCUAUUUCGGAGCUCCAGCUGUACCGUGCGUUGGGAAUGUACAGAUUUGGCAACUGCUGCAACUCGCUGCAGCCGGUUUGCAGCCCUCCGCCUCUGCAGCUGUCUUUCGCAGAAAGUUUUACAGUAGUUAAAAUCGGCAGGAGGGAGGGGAGUAUGUAGGAUAUCCUGCCAAAAGAUCCUGUGUGAACUUGCAGUUGCAACGGCUUCCCUAAUGUGAUUGGUGCCAUAGACUGCACACACAUCCCCAUCAAGGCCCCACCAGGCCCAAAUGAAGGGGAUUUUGUAAACCGAAAGGGGGUUCACAGUGUAAAUGUGCAGGGGAUUUUGACGGGAUCCUGCUUGGAGACGGGGGCUAUGCCUGCAGGCAGUAUUUUAUGACGCCCUUCCCUGACCCAUACCCUGGACCACAAACCCGAUACAAUGCUGCUCUAGCCAGGACAAGGGCACGCAUUGAGAUGGCCUUUGGAAAACUGAAGGAAAGAUUUCAGUGUCUGAAAAGUCUGAGGGUUGCACCUGACAGGUGCCUGUGACAUUAUUGUUGCAUGUGUCAUAUUGCACAACAUUGGCACCAUCAGAAAGGAGAGGAUCCCUGUGGUGGGGGUGCAGCCUGAUGAUGACGACCUCCAGCCAGUGCACUUGGACCAACCUAGUGGCAGAGCUGCACGGGACAUAAUUGUAGAACACAAUUUUUUAAUCUUUAAUAAAAGACAAGAUAAAUAUGCUUCUAUGCUUCUUAAGUUCCUGUAUUUUUAUUUGAGCGAUUAUUCUUUAUGGAGAACAGCCAGGAAGUAAUCUUUUGCCUGCAAUAAGAGGUAGUUAUGUAAAGUCAGCAAUACUACUAUGUGUCAAAUGGUACAUUUGCACUUACUCUGAAGUUCCUUUUGAAGCAAUUUGAUCUGGAGUACAAUUUUUCUCUUUCUCAAGUUGUCAAGAUUAAUUUCUCCUCUUAAUUUGCAUUUUUCAACUCCAAAUACUCAAUUUUUUGGUGAAGAUGCCUUUUAUAGAGGGAACGGAUGUCAGCCUGUGUCAUUUUGUGAAAGAAAAA